Molecule: ribosomal RNA, 156 nt
Filed under: uncultured Bacillota bacterium
Lineage: Bacteria; Bacillati; Bacillota
Description: uncultured Firmicutes bacterium partial 16S ribosomal RNA
Rfam family: Bacterial small subunit ribosomal RNA
Source: RNAcentral
CGCAAUGGGCAAAAGCCUGACGGAGCAACGCCGCGUGAGUGAUGACGGCCUUCGGGUUGUAAAACUCUGUGAUCCGGGACGAAAAGGCAGAGUGCGAAGAACAAACUGCAUUGACGGUACCGGAAAAGCAAGCCACGGCUAACUACGUGCCAGCAG